UACGUAGGGGGCAAGCGUUGUCCGGAAUUAUUGGGCGUAAAGCGCGCGCAGGCGGCCUGUUAAGUCUGAUGUGAAAGCCCACGGCUCAACCGUGGAGGGCCAUUGGAAACUGGCAGGCUUGAGUGCAGGAGAGGAGAGCGGAAUUCCCGGUGUAGCGGUGAAAUGCGUAGAGAUCCGGAAGAACACCGGAGGCGAAGGCGGCUUGCUGGGCGUGAUCUGACGCUGAGGCGCGAAAGCGUGGGGAGCGAACGAGG
RNAcentral lists this ribosomal RNA (254 nucleotides) under uncultured bacterium. RNAcentral describes it as "partial 16S ribosomal RNA". It matches the Rfam family "Bacterial small subunit ribosomal RNA", at positions 524 to 777 of the family's 1533-position model. The record is from RNAcentral.